RNAcentral lists this ribosomal RNA (498 nucleotides) under uncultured bacterium. Its description in RNAcentral is "partial 16S ribosomal RNA". It matches the Rfam family "Bacterial small subunit ribosomal RNA", at positions 28 to 523 of the family's 1533-position model. The record is from RNAcentral.
GGUGAACGCUGGCGGCGUGCUUUAAGCAUGCAAGUCGAACGGUAACGCGGGGCAACCUGGCGACGAGUGGCGAACGGGUGAGUAAUGUAUCGGAACGUGCCCAGUUGUGGGGGAUAACUGCUCGAAAGAGCAGCUAAUACCGCAUACGACCUGAGGGUGAAAGCGGGGGAUCGCAAGACCUCGCGCAGUUGGAGCGGCCGAUAUCAGAUUAGGUAGUUGGUGGGGUAAAGGCUCACCAAGACUAUGACGGCUAGCCGGCCUGAGAGGGUGUACGGCCAGACUGGAACUUAGACACGGUCCAGACUCCUACGGGAGGCAGCAGUGGGGAAUAUUGCGCAAUGGGCGAAAGCCUGACGCAGCGACGCCGCGUGAAGGAUGAAGGUCUUCGGAUUGUAAACUUCUGUUAAGUGGGAAGAAAGACACGCUUCUAAUACAGGCGUGGGAUGACGGUACCAUUAGAGAAAGCACCGGCUAACUUCGUGCCAGCCGCCGCCGUAA